RNAcentral lists this ribosomal RNA (427 nucleotides) under uncultured bacterium. RNAcentral describes it as "partial 16S ribosomal RNA". It matches the Rfam family "Bacterial small subunit ribosomal RNA", at positions 355 to 774 of the family's 1533-position model. The record is from RNAcentral.
UGGGGAAUAUUGGACAAUGGGCGAAAGCCUGAUCCAGCCAUGCCGCGUGUGUGAAGAAGGUCUUCGGAUUGUAAAGCACUUUAAGUUGGGAGGAAGGGCAUUAACCUAAUACGUUAGUGUUUUGACGUUACCGACAGAAUAAGCACCGGCUAACUCUGUGCCAGCAGCCGCGGUAAUACAGAGGGUGCAAGCGUUAAUCGGAAUUACUGGGCGUAAAGCGCGCGUAGGUGGUUUGUUAAGUUGGAUGUGAAAUCCCCGGGCUCAACCUGGGAACUGCAUUCAAAACUGGCUGACUAGAGUAUGGUAGAGGGUGGUGGAAUUUCCUGUGUAGCGGUGAAAUGCGUAGAUAUAGGAAGGAACACCAGUGGCGAAGGCGACCACCUGGACUAAUACUGACACUGAGGUGCGAAAGCGUGGGGAGCAAACA